This 519-nucleotide ribosomal RNA is filed under the name Triticum aestivum (bread wheat). RNAcentral describes it as "partial small subunit ribosomal RNA". The record is from RNAcentral. Lineage: Eukaryota; Viridiplantae; Streptophyta; Magnoliopsida; Poales; Poaceae.
AUGGUAACUGCAAAAACUUCUAGUUAUUGUUCAGCACAUGAUGCCAAUCCUGUUUUACGUGAUGUGAUGUACUACGGGAGGGUAAUUGAUAUUGUCGAGCUAAACUACUCUGGACAGUUUUCAGUGGUGUUGUUUAAAUGUGAAUGGGUUAAUGUGUUCUCAGGAACAGGAAUGAAAAAAGACAAGUACGGUUACACACUUGUCAACUUCUCACAUCUAAUACACAAAGGAGAACAGAUUGAGCAUGAGCCUUUUAUUUUCCCUAACCAGGCGAAUCAAAAGUUCUAUGUGGAAGAUGAAUUGAAUCCAGGUUGGUCUGUGGUAAUGAAGUUGCCAAAGCCUAGAGAUGUAUAUGACUUAGGCAACUUGGAAUGGGAAGCACAGACAGAAAAUGAGCCAUUCCAUGUUUCACAGCUUAGAGAGAAUUUGAAAAGAAAGAACAAUGAACAACAUUGGGUUAGAAGAGACGUUGAGGGGACAAUAGUGGAUGCUAAUAAUGCUUCGAGCAACGAAGAAUAG